This 30-nucleotide small RNA is filed under the name Bombyx mori (domestic silkworm). RNAcentral describes it as "ovarian small RNA-32593". Lineage: Eukaryota; Metazoa; Arthropoda; Insecta; Lepidoptera; Bombycidae. The record is from RNAcentral.
UGAUCAAAGACCUACGUCCUCGCAAAGCUC